RNAcentral lists this ribosomal RNA (494 nucleotides) under uncultured bacterium. RNAcentral's name for it is "bacterial SSU rRNA". It matches the Rfam family "Bacterial small subunit ribosomal RNA", at positions 903 to 1397 of the family's 1533-position model. The record is from RNAcentral.
AAAUGAAUUGACGGGGACCCGCACAAGCGGUGGAGCAUGUGGUUUAAUUCGAAGCAACGCGAAGAACCUUACCAAGUCUUGACAUCCCGAUGACCAAGUAUGUAAUGUACUCUCUCUUCGGAGCAUCGGUGACAGGUGGUGCAUGGUUGUCGUCAGCUCGUGUCGUGAGAUGUUGGGUUAAGUCCCGCAACGAGCGCAACCCUUAUCCUUAGUAGCCAGCGGAUUGGCCGGGCACUCUAGGGAGACUGCCAGGGAUAACCUGGAGGAAGGCGGGGAUGACGUCAAAUCAUCAUGCCCCUUAUGACUUGGGCUACACACGUGCUACAAUGGCGUAAACAAAGGGAAGCGAGCCUGUGAAGGGGAGCGAAUCCCAAAAAUAACGUCCCAGUUCGGACUGUAGUCUGCAACCCGACUACACGAAGCUGGAAUCGCUAGUAAUCGCGAAUCAGCAUGUCGCGGUGAAUACGUUCCCGGGUCUUGCACACACCGCCCGU